GGCUUCGGAGAUGUAAGUGUGCGGCAGGUCUCAGGAUGGGGUGAGUAACACGUGGGGAACCUGCCCUUCGCAUAGUCUGGGAUACCAAGAGCUUGGAAACAGGUGCUAAUACCGGAUAAGAAAGCAGAUCGCAUGAUCAGCUUAUAAAAGGCGGCGUAAGCUGUCGCUAUGGGAUGGCCCCGCGGUGCAUUAGCUAGUUGGUAGGGUAACGGCCUACCAAGGCAAUGAUGCAUAGCCGAGUUGAGAGACUGAUCGGCCACAUUGGGACUGAGCGACACGGCCCAAACUCCUACGGGAGGCAGCAGUAGGGAAUCUUCCACAAUGAGAGAGAUGUGGUGUUUUGGACGAAAGUCUGAUGGAGCAACGCCGCGUGAGUGAAGAAGGUUUUCGGAUCGUAAAGCUCUGUUGUUGGACGGUGGUUGAAGAAGGAUAGAGGUAGUAACUGGCCUUUAUUUGACGGUAAUCAACCAGAAAGUCACGGCUAACUACGAAGUCGCGAGGAUUUUGCCAGCAGCCGCGGUAAUAUAA
RNAcentral lists this ribosomal RNA (528 nucleotides) under Lactobacillus sp. RNAcentral describes it as "bacterial SSU rRNA". It matches the Rfam family "Bacterial small subunit ribosomal RNA", at positions 67 to 528 of the family's 1533-position model. The record is from RNAcentral. Lineage: Bacteria; Bacillati; Bacillota; Bacilli; Lactobacillales; Lactobacillaceae.